RNAcentral lists this long non-coding RNA (1903 nucleotides) under Medicago truncatula (barrel medic). RNAcentral describes it as "long non-coding RNA (MTRU_LNC007272)". The record is from RNAcentral. Lineage: Eukaryota; Viridiplantae; Streptophyta; Magnoliopsida; Fabales; Fabaceae.
CAUGCCACUACUGUCAAUAUAUCUACUAACUAAUUGGAUUUUUAGCUAGACUGUAGACUGUAGAGUAGCUAAUCAAAAUUUUAUGCUAAAAUGUGAUGGGCAAUAAGAGAAUCUUUUAAGGUUCCUCAUGUACCAUGUGAUGUAAUUAAUGGAAGUCAAGUAGAUAUAGCUGAGAGUCCUGUUAGUGACAUAUAUGUUGGAUCUUUAUUAGCGUAGCUUCUGCACUCAAUCUUUAACCUCUUAAAUGGUUUAAUCUUAUAUUUGUGUCUCACUUUAUUGGGUUUGGAUUUAAGGUGGUUUGUUUUUGGGUCUAUUGACACUGUAGAAACCACGGUUUGGAAAUAUAUGUUUUUUUACGGAGAGCAGUUGCUGAAUUUGAGGCUAACUGUUUCUUGAAAUUCUAAGUAUCUGACAAGUAUACACUUGGAAUGAGGAGAAAAGAGAAGGAAAUAGAAUGAAUAUUGGAUUAUCAAUUCAAGAAGUCAGUCAGUGAAAAAUGGAGGAGAAAAUAAUGGGGGUGGGAACCAAAAGGAAAAAAAUGAAUGAAAGAUUAAAACUUCCCUGCACUAUCUAAUAUUAUCAGUUUAACUUUUCCCUCUCCUAGAAACAGUAGAACUUGGAUAUUGGUUAUAUUUUGUGCUUGGAUUGAGAAAUUAAUCAAAAUUAUAUUUGAAGCCCAAAUCAACGUGAUAAUUGGCAUUUGAUGAUGAAUUGGUGUUGUCAUACAGCGGCUAUCGUGGUGCUUUAGUGCCAUAACGUGGCGGAAUUUUGACAAACCGCUAUUGCUCCCCAGCGAUACGCGAUUAAGUCCAAAAUGAUGUCAACUUGCAACUGUAUAGGUACUAUAACUCUGUAGUGUAGCGGAAUUUGAACAAUCCACUAUUUUCCACCAUCUACAAUUGACAACACUGGUCAAUCUGGCAGGCUGGAAGUGAUCAUGACAACUACUAACAAUGAGCUAUCUUGGAAACUGCAACCUCUGCUUGUGUAGUCUUAUUUUUGCUGCCUUUUGAAAAAUUAAUCAAGCAUUAAAUUAUAUCAACCAUCUCUUCCCUUUCUAUGAUAUCAUUAUAGACUUUUUGAUUGUAUGAUUGUAGAUGUACUACAACAAGGUUGGACCGUGGACAAUGCCUCUCGGAUGCUUACUGUGAAGAAGCAACCUGUUGCGUCAGUGCAGAAANGGAAUUUGAACAAUCCACUAUUUUCCACCAUCUACAAUUGACAACACUGGUCAAUCUGGCUGGCUGGAAGUGAACAUGACAAUUACUUAAAAUGAGCUAUCUUGGAAAGGCAGCUCUGCUUGUGUAGUCUUAUUUUUGCUGCCUUUUGAAAAAUUAAUCACGCAUUAAAUUAUAUCAACCAUCUCUUCCCUUCCUAUGAUAUCAUUAUAGACUUUUUGAAUGUAUGAUUGUAGAUGUACUACAACAAGGUUGGACCGUGGACAAUGCCUCUCGGAUGCUUACUGUGAAGAAGCAACCUGUUGCGUCAGUGCAGAAACUUGAUCCUCGCAAAUUGCAACAGCUGACAGAAUAUGUCUUCCAUCUUGAGCAUUGAAGAUUUUAAUCUUCUGAAGGAAUUAGAUGAAUGUUUUUCUAAAACUCUUCAAUCACGUGAUCCACCUUUCGAAGGUGUAUGAAAGUGCAUAUAUUCUAUUGAUAGUUUUGGAAACAAGGCAUAAUCUUUCCUGUGUUUUAACUUGAGCUCUGAUUAGAUGAAUUUUGCAUGGCACUUCUGGUAGUUAUUGAACAUGCCGUUCUCUUGUAUGAUAGCGAAAAGUAAAGAAUUUUUCCGAUUAAACCUGCUUUUGAGAAAUCCAGUUACUCUGUAUAUUCUUUAGUAUGUGAAUAUUUUUUCAUGGUAUUAUUAUGUUAUUUGCAGGGCUGAUAGUUUAUACAUAUUUUCA